CACGUAGGGGGCGAGCGUUGUCCGGAAUCAUUGGGCGUAAAGAGCUCGUAGGCGGCUCGGUAAGUCGGGUGUGAAACGCCGGGGCUCAACCCCGGGACUGCGUCCGAUACUUCCGAGCUGGAGGUAGGUAGGGGAGAUCGGAAUUCCUGGUGUAGCGGUGAAAUGCGCAGAUAUCGGGAGGAACACCUAUGGCGAAGGCAGCUCGCUGGGACGUUACUGACGCUGAGACGCGAAAGCGUGGGGAGCAAACAGG
Molecule: ribosomal RNA, 253 nt
Filed under: uncultured bacterium
Lineage: Bacteria
Description: partial 16S ribosomal RNA
Rfam family: Bacterial small subunit ribosomal RNA
Source: RNAcentral